GGGGCCGUGGGCUAGCCAGGCUAGGCUGCCAGCCUUGGGAGCUGGUGGUCCCGGGUUCAAAUCCCGGCGGCCCCACCA
Molecule: transfer RNA, 78 nt
Filed under: Candidatus Bathyarchaeota archaeon
Lineage: Archaea; Thermoproteati; Candidatus Bathyarchaeota
Also listed under: 1 other name
Description: tRNA-Pro
Rfam family: tRNA
About the family: Transfer RNA (tRNA) molecules are approximately 80 nucleotides in length.
Source: RNAcentral